AAAUAAAAGUACUGUUGCUUUUGUGAGGCGACCUCUAGCUCGCCCAGUGAGAGCGUGCUCCCCAUGUGGGCUGAGUCCUUCGCAGUGGCCCGGGUUCGAGUCCGGCCUGCUGCCCUUUGCUGGGUCUCAUCCCCCCCAUCUCUCUCCCACCGUUCCGGUCUAUCUACUGUCACUAUCAAAUAAAGGGAAAAAAAACCCACCAGA
This is a long non-coding RNA of Etheostoma spectabile (orangethroat darter), 204 nucleotides long. RefSeq lists it as uncharacterized. The record is from RefSeq and is a predicted model, not a curated record. NCBI's taxonomy places the organism in Eukaryota, Metazoa, Chordata, Actinopteri, Perciformes, Percidae. The transcript is spliced from 3 exons.